CCUACGUGUGGCAGCAGUGGGGAAUAUUGGACAAUGGGCGAAAGCCUGAUCCAGCCAUGCCGCGUGUGUGAAGAAGGCCUUCGGGUUGUAAAGCACUUUCAGUGGGGAAGAAAGCCUUGGGGCUAAUACCCUCGAGGAAGGACAUCACCCACAGAAGAAGCACCGGCUAACUCCGUGCCAGCAGCCGCGGUAAUACGGAGGGUGCGAGCGUUAAUCGGAAUUACUGGGCGUAAAGCGCGCGUAGGCGGUCUGAUAAGCCGGUUGUGAAAGCCCCGGGCUCAACCUGGGAACGGCAUCCGGAACUGUCAGGCUAGAGUGCAGGAGAGGAAGGGAGAAUUCCCGGUGUAGCGGUGAAAUGCGUAGAGAUCGGGAGGAAUACCAGUGGCGAAGGCGGCCUUCUGGACUGACACUGACGCUGAGGUGCGAAAGCGUGGGUAGCAAACAGGAUUAGAUACCCGUGUAGUC
This 465-nucleotide ribosomal RNA is filed under the name Vreelandella stevensii. RNAcentral describes it as "partial 16S ribosomal RNA". It matches the Rfam family "Bacterial small subunit ribosomal RNA", at positions 338 to 795 of the family's 1533-position model. The record is from RNAcentral. Lineage: Bacteria; Pseudomonadati; Pseudomonadota; Gammaproteobacteria; Oceanospirillales; Halomonadaceae.